AGCUAACCACCCGACUUGGCUUCGAGUCAAUCAUCCGCGGAUAGCCCGCACACCGGCUGCUCAUCAGCCUACCGCCCUCUCUCUGUCACAGCCCCCUAGCGGCGAAGUCGUCGCACACGCUAAGCUCGGCUCAAGUCGCAUGACUUGACCAUCUGGUGGCGAUCGCGUUGCUCUUACCCAGCGUGAGCUCGAGUCAUGACACACCGUCUGGCGGCGAACGGAUCGCACCACACCCAACAACG
RNAcentral lists this long non-coding RNA (242 nucleotides) under Ananas comosus (pineapple). RNAcentral describes it as "long non-coding RNA (ACOM_LNC037175)". Lineage: Eukaryota; Viridiplantae; Streptophyta; Magnoliopsida; Poales; Bromeliaceae. The record is from RNAcentral.